Molecule: ribosomal RNA, 253 nt
Filed under: uncultured bacterium
Lineage: Bacteria
Description: partial 16S ribosomal RNA
Rfam family: Bacterial small subunit ribosomal RNA
Source: RNAcentral
UACAGAGGUCUCAACCGUUGUUCGGAUUCAUUGGGCGUAAAGGGUGCGUAGGCGGCGGGGCAAGUCAGGUGUGAAAUCUCGGGGCUCAACCCCGAAACUGCACUUGAUACUGCCUUGCUCGAGUACUGGAGAGGAGACUGGAAUUCAUGGUGUAGCAGUGAAAUGCGUAGAGAUCAUGAGGAAGACCAGUGGCGAAGGCGGGUCUCUGGACAGUUCCUGACACUGAGACACGAAGGCCAGGGGAGCAAACGGG